CUCGCGGGUCCGAGCCAGCACCUUGAACCGCGCCCGGAAGCAGUGGGGAGGCAGCGCGGAGCCUGGCGCUGCAGGCACGAGUGGACCCAGACGGCAGCCACCGCCGCGGAGAGCGCCCGGCAGCACCGCAGCCCACGUCGGUCUGGGAGAGGGGGCCUGGGCAGCGAUGGCUGGAAGCUGUGACAGCUCGGCCAGACCGACGCAUGAAAUCAAAAUGACCAAAUGGAAAUAGCGGUGCAUCUUGCACGAGAGCGCACGAGGGUGGCUGGGACCGUGCGCAGAAAAGCAAGUCCAACCAAUCGCAUUCUCUGGGCCAGAUUCUGCCAAAUCAUCAGAGUGGCUGUAAUCGCCCAAAAGUUUUAAUAGAAAGGAAAGAAACCCUCCCGCAUAAGAGACAGCGAGCGGCUGGGGCAAAACUGGAUUGUGGCGACAAGGCCACCAUGAGGAAGACCAGACCCGCUCAGCGUAAAGAAAGCGGAGCUCGCGGCACGCAAUACCAGACCCACGCCGAAAGAUGAUAGCAGUCGCAGUGAAGGCCGGGGCAAGGGUGGAUGAGGGCAGUGAGAGCGCUGUCUAGAAGCGCUGGUGAGUGAGGUAGGCCUCAGCCCUCUUCCACCCCCGAGCCUCAAAAUCAAAGUGACAGUUCCUCUAAAAGGAAAGUUGUUGGCAGAGACCUGACACACUCGUCGCAUGUAUAUCCGAGCCAAGAGAGAGAGAAGGGCACAGGGGCUGCAUCCAGUGAGCGCGGCCUCGCGGUGUGCGGUGCUGCAAACAUGUUUGCGGUGCCACACACCACACGUUUAGAUGUUCUCUGCGCUGCAAGGGCAUGCGCUGCUCCGCUUUUAUUUUUUCUACAGGUUUGGUCAAAAAAACCCACGGAAAAAAAAAAAGCAGAGCAGCGCAUGCACGGGCAGCGCGCACCACUCCAGCGCAGAGCCGGGCCGUCCAGAGCCGCAGCCAGGAUCCACGCGGCAGAAUCACCGCUGCUGCUGCAGCCCCGGGAGACCCCCAGGACCCUGCGUAGCCAGCUGGGGCCAGCCCAGUGCGGUCCCAGCCUCCCUACCCCAAAAGUGGCUUGCAAGAAUAUAUGAAAGGGUCGCAAACAAACUUUAAAAAUGGAUUAAAAACCAUGGGAAACCCUCUCAAAAAAGGUUGAGAGUAUCCCCCUAGGCCAGGGGUGGGCAAAAUGCAGCCCCGGGGCUGGAUGCGGCCUACCAGGCCAUUCUAUCCGGCCCACGGGGCCCCUAAAAAUUUAGAAAAUUAAUAUUUCUCUGCACUGGGCUGCCUGUCAUGUGGCCCGUGAUAGCUUGCCAAAAACAUAGCUUGCCUCUGCCCAAAAUAAUUGCCUUCCCCUGCACCCCGUCACAUCUGAUGGACUUACAACUUCCAGACCAGUCAGAAACUGCAAGGAAAACCAGCUUCGCAUCUGGACAGAUCCAAACCCACAAUUCAAGCAGUUAGCAGUUGUAAUGUGAUAAUUCCCCCUUCCUCCCUGUUUUGUUCAGACUUUCAUUUGACCAGCCAUCAAGGAGAAAUGCUUUGAGGCGAUCCAAUCAAGCUGCCAGCAAGGUGUGCAGUCCAGGAGGGAGCUGGAGAAAUCCCGCUUGGUGAAGGCUGCAAAAAGACUGGAACAGCUUCCUGCCGGCAUGGGCAGCCUUGGUGCCGGCUGGAGUUGGUGAGAGGCUCCCAGCCGAGACCCGGGCGCAGCAGAGGAUGCAGGAGCAGCCCCAGGUUGCAAACUGCAGAGCCCGGAGGAGGCUGAACCCCAGCAGUGCCAGGUGUCCCACGGUCGCACGGUCUGCUCACCGAUUCGGACUCAGAUUCACCUGCACCCAGUCUCCGGCUGCAGCCAGGCAUCGGGAAAGGAUGGAGACCAGGUUCAGAGGCAGAACUGCAUGGGGUCACGAUACUGAUGCACCUCGUUCCACGCUUUAUAAUCCCAGGGUUUGCAGCACAGUGCAGCAUUUAAUGCAGGGCUAAUGAUCCAGUCACAUGAGACGUAUGGAAUAACCGCGGCGCAGGCUCCGGGGCCUGGUGCAAGAGGCAUGGGCCCGACCCACCUCCACACCCAGGCACGGGUGGCCGGGCUGCAGCCGGGUCAGCUGGCACUGUGCUGACCAGAAGAUCCCCACCGAUGGGCCAAAGCCCAGGAGCAAUGGGUUAAAACUGGGCCAGAAGACGUGGAGCGGGGUGUGCAUGCUGGGACGCUGGAAAGAGGUCCAGAUGCUCUCCCCGCUGUCGGAGCACCAGGGGAGGAGCUGGACACUCUCCACCCUCAAGAGGAAGCCGGCCGCCUUCCCCGUGGCCAGACCGCCCGGGGAAGCGCUGGACGCUCUCCCCGCUGCUGCCAGCCUCGGCCACGUUCAAGGGGCCCAGGCCAAGCUGCAGAAGUGCCGCUAAGCAGAUGGCCCAAAGCCCAUUUGUGAGUGACCGCAGUGUGAAGUUCAGCAGAUGUGACAGCUCACUUGGUCAGCAGGUAAAGGAAACCAUCGAACACAACUGAACAAAGCACAAGGCCGAAAAGGAGAUAAGGGAAGACCAUACAUUACAUACUUCAUAUACCCUAUAUCAUAGCUUUAUCUUAAGUAGUAGUAGUAGCGAGCGAUGUAACCAAAUGUAUUAGAUGUUAUUUUGCCAUAAUAGAUAUAUUUUUGUUAAAUGCUUAGAUAAUUUGUAAAAACAAAAACAGCCUGUCAGAGAAGACCAUAAAGUCAGGUAAAAAAGAAACAGAAACGGCAUUCCAGCACGGGGAAGGAAAGGAGAGAAGAACCCCUCCCUCUUUCCCAAGGACAUAAAUCCCAAAUAAUUGGCACCUUCCAAGUCCACAAAAGAUCUGGCUCAGUCCCGUUCCAAUAGUUUCAGUGAAACCAAGAAAUGUAAAUAACACCAAUCAGAGAUCACUUAUUAGAAUAUUAAAACCUGCCAUCUAUAAAUAAUGGGCAUGGGCUGGAGGGAAAUUUGGGAAAUUCAGCAAAUUCAAGAAGACCUGCUGCCAAUCUGCUUGCCACCCUCCUCCCACCUCGCGAGUCUCCCAGCGGGGGUAGGUGCGCGACUGUGUCGUGCAGGCGCAGGCACCCAGACAGACUCGGGGAUAAAUGUUUGUUCUCAUGUUUUAAGGUGCAAGCAAAUAAAAGGCUGGGUGUU
Alligator sinensis (Chinese alligator) is the source of this 3144-nucleotide long non-coding RNA. RefSeq lists it as uncharacterized. The record is from RefSeq and is a predicted model, not a curated record. The transcript is spliced from 2 exons. NCBI's taxonomy places the organism in Eukaryota, Metazoa, Chordata, Crocodylia, Alligatoridae.